CUGGCCAAUGCAUUCAGAUCAACCAAGGAAUUCUCAGCUGGUAACAAAGGUCCUGAAAACUGGCCUAACUGUGAGGCAUUGGGCACGUCGGGAUGAAUUGGUUGCAUCAGAAAUAGUUGAAAAUGCUGUGAGAACUUUGAUGGCUUCACCUGAGGGAGAUGAGAUGAGGAAGAGAGCAUCAGAAUUAAGCAUUGCUGUCAAACAAUCAGUCAUGGAUGGGGAAGGUUACGGUGCGGAGAUGAAUUCUUUUAUCGCACACAUUACUCGAGAACUUUCUCACCAGAAUUGACCAAUUGAUAGCAUAAGUGGUUCAACCUAUGAGACUUUAUCAAUGCUCUAUCACCAUCUGAGUGGGUUCAGUGUCCCCUUUUAUGCACAUCACUGCAUGUAUGUUUAAGGAUAAAAAGCUUUUCUUUAUGAGUUCCUUAUAUUUUUUAGUAUAAAUGUAAAGGUCCUCCUUUACUAGCAACUAGUUCUUUUGGCCAGAGAUAUAAAAUAUUAGAAGCUGUUUGUGUAAUCUUUCAAGAACUUUUUGCUUGUGACUACUGAGUGAUAUACUAUGUAUUUUCCAUUCUGCCAGACUUCUCAUCUUGUUAAGUGUAAUUUACAUUAUUUUCUCAACAUUAAUACUACUCAUAUUUUGCAUCUAGACAAAUAAGGAAGAGAUACGGUAAGCUUUCUUGAGAGAUUAGAUUUGAAAUUGCAAUUUGCUCUGUUGCAAAAGGAGCUGUAAAAGGGGGAAAAUCAGAAGAGUUUGAUAUAAGGUAUCUACUUUGAUCUGUAUUUCAGAUUUAGUGGUAACUGUGGAACAUAUUCAAUUCCUUGACCAAGUAAGAUUGCUAAAGUAUUUUUGAAUCUUUUGUGUCUUACAUUCUAAAAAAAACCUAAAAUACAGGAAAUGUUAGGGGUGCGUCCUUUUUCCGCAUCUUGCUAAGGGGGAUUUUGGGGCACCGAAUUUCUCUUCCUUUAUGUUUCAGUGUGGGUUAGUUUAGUCCAUAUUUCAAAUUUGAGACCUCAAAAGAUUACCUGCUUAAUCAACUAUAGUUAUAUGUAUGCUUCAUAAGUGACAAAACAUAAAUAAUUAAUGGUGUAUGCUAUUAUUAUAUUUAACAAAAAACAACAUCGUUCGUUAUAGUACAUGAUACUUGAGUUUUCCAAAGUGAAUAGAAAAAUGGUAUAUGUGAAGCAAUAAUUAGUCAUGUGUUUCAUUUUAUGUGUUACUAGCUAGCUAUCAAAAUUGACACUUAUAGCAUUGACUAAUUUAAGUUGCAACCAAAACCCACUAUUAGUGGCAACCAUUAUAGGGAUUACCGAUGAUCAAAAUAGCAGGUAAAAACAUACUUUCAUCUGAAACUUAAAUAAGAAUAAGCAACAACUGCAUAUACCCCUAAUAUUGACAUUUAGUGGCGAGAAAUUUUGCCACAGAAACAAGAUACUAGCAACGACUAAUUUUGUCACUAAAACAUUCUUUUAUUGGCGACUAUUAUAGGUAUUAGCAACUACUUAUUUUGCCACUAAAACAUUCUUUUAUUGGCGCCUAUUAUGAGCAUUAGCGGCGAUUAUUCUUGCCACUAAAACAAACUAUUAGUGGCGACUAUUAUAUGUAUUAGCAGCGACAGCUUUUGCCACUAAAACAUUAUUUUAGUGGCCACUAGUAUAGGUAUUACAACGACUAAUUUUGCCACCAAACAUUCUUUUAGUGCCGACUAUUAUGAGUAUUAGCGGCGAUUAUUCUUUUCACUAAAACAAACUAUUAGUGGCGACUAUUAUAUGUAUUAGCAGCGACUAAGUAGUGACUUUUCCGUAAAAUUUGUGACUUUUAAGAAGGGUAAAAUAAAUAAGAAUCUUGAUUUGUGACGGCGUCGCAUAGGCAGGUCGGCUGUUGUAAACAAAUGCACGUUUAUGAAGAGUGGCAAGAGUGGUAACAAAAUGAACGGAAAAAGCAGCGGUUGAAGGCUGAAACUACGUUCCUAUUGUUGAGGGGGAAGGACAGUUUUGGAAAUAAAUAAAUAAAAAAAGAAUCCUUACUUCUAGUGGCGCGACGUCACCGGGUUGAGGGUUCUCUUUUAUAUAUAUAUAUAUAUAUUCUUUAAUUUAAUAUAAUUUUAUUUUAUUUUGAAAUUAAUGAUCUGAAACAAAUCUUAGAAAUUUGUGUAGCGAUAAAUUAUUUCAAUUAAGAAUAAAAGAAAAAAAUUAAAGUUAAAAUAUGCCUAAUUAUAGAAAGGUGACAACUUUUUUUUUGUCACGAAUUAAAAAGAAAAAUAUGUCACAUUAAUUUGAACAAAUAAAGUAUACAACAAUUUCAUUAUUUUUUAGAAAAUAAAUGAUACUAACGUUUAACUUUCUUUUUUUAAUAAAAUAAAAUAAAACGCAAAUAGUAAAGAGAUUUUGUGGAUCUCCCACCAAACGUUUUCUUCAAAGUUGAAUCAUGUAGUUGAAAAUGGAUUAUAUAAUUUAAUGUUUAUUUAUAGGUGCAUUAGAGCAUUAAGAUGAGGUAAUUAUUCGGUGUAUUUUUAAAAUCAGCUUAUUUAAAAAAAAUAAAAAAUUAUUCGGUGUAUUUUAAAAAAAUACUUUUUGGAAGUAUCAGUUUAUUUGAAUAAUCAAUUUGAAAAAUAUUUAUAUUAAAACUAAAACAAUUAGUAUUCGACCAAAAUUCUAAAAGUGUUUCGAAGGUUAAAAACUAUUUCGCUUCAAGGAAAACCAACUUCUACUUUAGAUGAAAACACAUAUAUUUUUCCCAGAAGCUUUGAUCAAACACUUCAAUUCUCUAAGUGGACUCUAAAGAAGGUGAUAUGUUUGCAGUCUUAUAACUACUAUGUGAAAGAUAGAAAUAUUGUUAUCGAUAUACCUUGACUCAAGUAAAAUAUAUAAAAAUCAAGUAUCUUGAGAACUUAUUUCUAAUAAAUCCUCGGCUCAACUCUUUAAAAUAACCACAUAUUUUAUUUUAAGAAAUUCCCGACUCAACUUUCUAAAAUAAUCAUUCUUUCUUUAGAAAAAAAACUUCUUAUUUCAUUGAAACUUGACCAGACAGACUAUAAAUUAGUAUUACCUAAUUGGUGAAGAUAUCUAGAAUUUCCUUUUGUGAUAACAUCAAAUAAUGGAGAAACUACAACAACUGCUUAAUAUGGACAAAAACUGAAAAGAAAGUCUAUAAUGUCUGCUCCCAUAACAAACAUAUUAGUAUUUUGUCCUAUGAUAGAAGAUUCUAAUAAUAAAAUAAUGAAGAUCUACAAAUUAUAUAUAUUUGGAUUUUUUUACAAUGAGGAUGAUGAUAUUUUUCUUUGGUAGCUAACAACAUAUUUGUAAAUAACAUGCCAUUAUGGUUAUUAUUCAGUGAAUUUCUCGAUAAAUAUACAAAGUUUAGACUAAAGUUAUUGAGUUUUGCUGAACAUUGCGGCAAGAACAUGGGAAAGAGUAUGUAAUCAACUCAAUAUUGACUCUCUCCAGUCUCCUUUAGCACAAAACUCAAAAGAAAAACUAAGAAGCUGCAGUCCAAACAUAUAGUAUGUUAAUAUUUGAAUUGUGAACAUACAAAAGUAUGUUUUCUACAUAAAUUCAUAGUAUAGAGAAUUGAGGGUAUAACUUUUUUCGUAACCACUUGUCGGUAGUUCUACAACACAAUAACAUAUCCAGUGUAAUCCCACUUGUCGGUGGUUUUAUUACAAAAAAAACAAAGAGAUUUGAUUGUGAUUGCAUACAGAUGCCUGUUCAUUUUGUUGAGAAGGUAUCCUAUUAAUGAUUUUAAGUUUUUUAGCAGCCCACCAGCAAGUACAAGUUGGCAUUGGACUCAUGCAUUAUAAAAGAAUCUAUGUUUUCACCUAGACUACAUGUAACUCGAGACACUUCAGAAGCUCAGAUACUCAUACAACUGCAAAAUUUCAAAACAUUUCCCAAUGGCUGAGAACUACACAACAAAAAGAAAUGGCCAAAUAAGUGUUCAAGAUGCACAAGUGGCUGUGGUUAUGGUGCCACUUUCAGCACAAGGCCAUCUCAACCAGCUUCUCCACCUCUCGAGGCUCAUCACCUCGUAUAAUAUCCCAGUCCAUUAUGUUGGAGCAACCACUCAUAUUCGCCAGGCUAAGUUUCGUGUCCAUGGUUUCGACCCUGGCACAGCUAAAAACCUAUAUUUUCAUGAAUUCCCUACACCACCUUUCGAAAAUCCUCCUCCAAAUCCUAAUGCUUCAAAUAAAUUUCCUAACCAAUUAAUCCCUUCAUUUUAUGCAACAAUCCAUCUCCGUGAGCCAGUGUGCUCUCUUGUACGCCAACUACUAGGCGUCAAUCAUCGGAGAGUGAUUGUUAUUUAUGAUUCUAUGAUGAGUUGGGUAGUAGAGGAUGUACCAGCAAUUCCAAAUGCUGAGUGCUACCGUUUUAAUAGUAUCUCAGCUUUCCAUACGUUUUCAUGCAUCUGGGAAUCCAGAGGGAAACCUUUACAAGCUGGAACUGAAAUAUUCGAGGACAUUUCAUCAAACGAAAACUGUGCUACCCCAGAGUUAUGGGAAUUAUGGAGUAAACAAAAUUCCCUUGAAGGGAAAAUUAGCUCUGGAGAACUUUACAAUUCAUCCAGAGUAAUAGAAGGUUUAUACCUUGAUUUAGUAGCCAAAGAAAUUAAUGGCUUAAACCUACGGGCUAUUGGUCCAUUCAAUCCGUUGUUGCUGACUGAGCAGGACAAUGAUUCAAAUAAACGUCACAAAACCUUGGAUUGGCUUGACAAACAAGAACCGGACUCAGUGAUAUAUGUGUCUUUUGGAACAUCUACUUCUUUGUCGAAUGAAGAAAUUGAACAACUCGCCAUUGGGUUAGAGAAAAGCCUGCAAAAGUUCAUUUGGGUUCUCAGAGAUGCUGACAAAGGAGAUGUUUUUGCAGGUGAAGAAAGGAGAGCUCGGCUGCCGGAAGGUUAUGAAGAAAGAAUAAAAGGAAGAGGAAUUAUUGCAAGAGAUUGGGCACCUCAGUUGGAAAUUUUGGCACAUCCUUCCACAGGUGGUUUUAUGAGUCAUUGCGGAUGGAAUUCGUGCAUGGAAAGCAUUUCCAUGGGAGUUCCUAUAGCAGCCUGGCCAAUGCACUCAGAUCAACCAAGGAAUUCUCAGCUGGUAACAAAGUUCCUGAAAAUUGGCCUAAAUUUGAGACAUGGGGCAUGUCAGGAUGAAUUGGUUACAUCAGAAAUGGUUGAAAAUGCUGUGAGAACUUUGAUGGCUUCACCUGAGGGAGGUGAGAUGAGGAAGAGAGCAUCAGAAUUAAGUGUUGCUGUCAAACAAUCAGUCAUGGAUGGGGAAGGUACUGGUACAGAGAUGGAUUCUUUUAUCACACACAUUACUCGAUAACUUCUCAUUUGUAUUGAACAAUUGGUUGCACACUACCAUCUAGUUAACAUAAGUGAUACAACCUAUGACACUGUAUCAAUGCUCUAUCACCAUCCGAGUGGGUUCAGUGUCCACCCUACUGGCACCCCUUUAUGCACAUCACGGCAUGUAUGUUGAGGAUAAAAACCUUUCCUUUAUGAGUUCUUUGUAUUUGUUAAUAUAAAAGUGGAUGUCCUCCCAGAUAAAUAAAAUAUUGGAUGCUGUUUGUGAAUUCUUACAAGAAUUUUGUGCUUGUGACCUGAAUAACAUAGUAUGUUCUUUCAGGACUUUUAUAGCUUCUUGUCUUUAACUCUGUGACCUUGUAUUUGAUAUUCUGCCAGACUUCUCAUGUUGGUAGGAGUAGACAAUCUUUUUAAGUGUACUUUACAAUAUUUUCUCAACAUUUAUAGAAUACUCUUUUUUGCAUCAAGACAAAUACGGAAGAGCUCUGGUAUUCUAUGAAGUUUUUCAAUUAAAAUAUGAAUCACUUUGUAACUAUACUAACUUUUAACCUU
Molecule: long non-coding RNA, 5851 nt
Filed under: Solanum tuberosum (potato)
Lineage: Eukaryota; Viridiplantae; Streptophyta; Magnoliopsida; Solanales; Solanaceae
Description: long non-coding RNA (STUB_LNC010322)
Source: RNAcentral